GAUGAAGAACGCAGCGAAAUGCGAUAAGUAAUGUGAAUUGCAGAAUUCAGUGAAUCAUCGAAUCUUUGAACGCACAUUGCGCCCGCUAGUAUUCUGGCGGGCAUGCCUGUCCGAGCGUCAUUUCAACCCUCAAGCCCCCGGGCUUGGUGUUGGGGAUCGGCGAGCCUCCGCGCCCGCCGUCCCCUAAAUCUAGUGGCGGUCUCGCUGUAGCUUCCUCUGCGUAGUAGCACACCUCGCACUGGGAAACAGCGCGGCCACGCCGUUAAACCCCCAACUUCUGAACGUUUGACCUCGGAUCAGGUAGGAAUACCCGCUGAACUGAAGCAUAUCAAUAAGCGGAGGA
This 343-nucleotide unclassified non-coding RNA is filed under the name soil metagenome. Its description in RNAcentral is "partial contains 5.8S ribosomal RNA, internal transcribed spacer 2, and large subunit ribosomal RNA". The stretch from base 1 to 120 matches the Rfam family "5.8S ribosomal RNA", at positions 35 to 154 of the family's 154-position model. The record is from RNAcentral.